This 239-nucleotide unclassified non-coding RNA is filed under the name Ascomycota sp. RNAcentral describes it as "partial contains small subunit ribosomal RNA, internal transcribed spacer 1, and 5.8S ribosomal RNA". The stretch from base 1 to 47 matches the Rfam family "Eukaryotic small subunit ribosomal RNA", at positions 1785 to 1831 of the family's 1831-position model. Lineage: Eukaryota; Fungi; Ascomycota. The record is from RNAcentral.
AAAGUCGUAACAAGGUUUCCGUAGGUGAACCUGCGGAAGGAUCAUUACAAGGAACUGGCUUCGGUCAGAACCUCCAACCACUGUGUACCAAACUUUUGUUGCCUCGGCGGGCUGGGUGCCCACCAGCGCCCCCCUUAGGGGAGCCGCCCGCCGAAGGACCCCAAAACUUUUUUGUUGAUGAACGUCUGAUUCAACUUUUAAAAAAAAUACAACUUUUAACAAUGGAUCUCUUGGCUCUG